AAUACCCUAUUAUUUUAAAAGAAAUUUAUUGUACCUAAUUAGUAGUAGUUAAGGUCUUGAAAAUUAAAGAAUCUGGCGGUAUUUUAGUCUAUUCAGAGGAAUCUGUCCUAUAAUUGAUGACCCACGAUUUUUAUUACCUGUUUUAAAAGUAAUUUACAUAUCGCCGUAGUUUGAAUAUUUUUAAAAAAUACUAAUGUUCAUAAGUUAUUUUUAUAAAAAAAAUCAGGUCAAGAUGUAGUUUAUAGACAGGGAGAGAUGGAUUACAAUAAAAAUAUUUAUUAUGGAAUAAAUAAUGAAAAUUUUUUAUGAAAGUGGAUUUGAUAGUAAUUUUAUUUA
Molecule: ribosomal RNA, 336 nt
Filed under: Laparocerus excelsus
Lineage: Eukaryota; Metazoa; Arthropoda; Insecta; Coleoptera; Curculionidae
Description: partial 12S ribosomal RNA
Source: RNAcentral